RNAcentral lists this ribosomal RNA (55 nucleotides) under Aeromonas caviae. RNAcentral describes it as "partial 16S ribosomal RNA". It matches the Rfam family "Bacterial small subunit ribosomal RNA", at positions 1479 to 1533 of the family's 1533-position model. Lineage: Bacteria; Pseudomonadati; Pseudomonadota; Gammaproteobacteria; Aeromonadales; Aeromonadaceae. RNAcentral also lists the same sequence under 2 other names. The record is from RNAcentral.
GGUGAAGUCGUAACAAGGUAACCCUAGGGGAACCUGGGGUUGGAUCACCUCCUUA